GCCACCGUAGCUCAGCGGCAGAGCAGCGGUUUCGUAAACCGCGUGUCGUGGGUUCGAGUCCCACCGGUGGCUCCA
RNAcentral lists this transfer RNA (75 nucleotides) under Pseudomonadota bacterium. RNAcentral describes it as "tRNA-Thr". It matches the Rfam family "tRNA". From Rfam's summary of the family: Transfer RNA (tRNA) molecules are approximately 80 nucleotides in length. Their secondary structure includes four short double-helical elements and three loops (D, anti-codon, and T loops). Further hydrogen bonds mediate the characteristic L-shaped molecular structure. tRNAs have two regions of fundamental functional importance: the anti-codon, which is responsible for specific mRNA codon recognition, and the 3' end, to which the tRNAs corresponding amino acid is attached (by aminoacyl-tRNA synthetases). tRNAs cope with the degeneracy of the genetic code in two manners: having more than one tRNA (with a specific anti-codon) for a particular amino acid; and 'wobble' base-pairing, i.e. permitting non-standard base-pairing at the 3rd anti-codon position. Lineage: Bacteria; Pseudomonadati; Pseudomonadota. The record is from RNAcentral. RNAcentral also lists the same sequence under 4 other names.